UAUUGGACAAUGGGCGCAAGCCUGAUCCAGCAAUACCGCGUGUGUGAAGAAGGCCUUCGGGUUGUAAAGCACUUUCAAUGGGGAGGAAAACCUGCCGGUCAAUACCCGGCAGCUUGACAUUACCUUUAGAAGAAGCACCGGCUAACUCCGUGCCAGCAGCCGCGGUAAUACGGAGGGUGCGAGCGUUAAUCGGAAUUACUGGGCGUAAAGCGUGCGUAGGCGGUUCGUUAAGUCAGAUGUGAAAGCCCUGGGCUCAACCUGGGAACGGCAUUUGAAACUGGCGGACUAGAGUUUAGUAGAGGGGAGUGGAAUUUCAGGUGUAGCGGUGAAAUGCGUAGAUAUCUGAAGGAACACCAGUGGCGAAAGCGACUCCCUGGACUAGAACUGACGCUGAGGUACGAAA
RNAcentral lists this ribosomal RNA (403 nucleotides) under uncultured bacterium. RNAcentral describes it as "bacterial SSU rRNA". It matches the Rfam family "Bacterial small subunit ribosomal RNA", at positions 362 to 758 of the family's 1533-position model. The record is from RNAcentral.